UACGGGGGGGGCAAGCGUUGUUCGGAAUUACUGGGCGUAAAGGGCUCGUAGGCGGCCAACUAAGUCAGACGUGAAAUCCCUAGGCUCAACCUAGGAACUGCGUCUGAUACUGGAUGGCUUGAAUCCGGGAGAGGGAUGCAGAAUUCCAGGUGUAGCGGUGAAAUGCGUAGAUAUCUGGAGGAAUACCGGUGGCGAAGGCGGCAUCCUGGACCGGCACUGACGCUGAGGCGCGAAAGCGUGGGGAGCAAACAGG
RNAcentral lists this ribosomal RNA (253 nucleotides) under uncultured bacterium. Its description in RNAcentral is "partial 16S ribosomal RNA". It matches the Rfam family "Bacterial small subunit ribosomal RNA", at positions 524 to 776 of the family's 1533-position model. The record is from RNAcentral.